This 301-nucleotide ribosomal RNA is filed under the name uncultured bacterium. RNAcentral's name for it is "partial 16S ribosomal RNA". It matches the Rfam family "Bacterial small subunit ribosomal RNA", at positions 509 to 809 of the family's 1533-position model. The record is from RNAcentral.
CAGCCGCCGCGGUAACACGGAGGAUCCAAGCGUUAUCCGGAAUCAUUGGGUUUAAAGGGUCCGUAGGCGGUCUUGUAAGUCAGUGGUGAAAGCCCAUCGCUCAACGGUGGAACGGCCAUUGAUACUGCAGGACUUGAAUUAUUGGGAAGUAACUAGAAUAUGUAGUGUAGCGGUGAAAUGCUUAGAGAUUACAUGGAAUACCAAUUGCGAAGGCAGGUUACUACCAAUUGAUUGACGCUGAUGGACGAAAGCGUGGGUAGCGAACAGGAUUAGAUACCCCCGUAGUCCCUGUCUCUUAUAA